This 301-nucleotide ribosomal RNA is filed under the name uncultured bacterium. RNAcentral describes it as "partial 16S ribosomal RNA". It matches the Rfam family "Bacterial small subunit ribosomal RNA", at positions 509 to 807 of the family's 1533-position model. The record is from RNAcentral.
CAGCAGCCACGGGAAUACGUAGGUGGCGAGCGUUGUCCGGAAUUAUUGGGCGUAAAGGGCUCGCAGGCGGUUUCUUAAGUCUGAUGUGAAAGCCCCCGGCUCAACCGGGGAGGGUCAUUGGAAACUGGGAAACUUGAGUGCAGAAGAGGAGAGUGGAAUUCCACGUGUAGCGGUGAAAUGCGUAGAGAUGUGGAGGAACACCAGUGGCGAAGGCGACUCUCUGGUCUGUAACUGACGCUGAGGAGCGAAAGCGUGGGGAGCGAACAGGAUUAGAUACCCCAGUAGUCCCUGUCUCUUAUAC